This 25-nucleotide transfer RNA is filed under the name Delma hebesa. RNAcentral's name for it is "partial tRNA-Trp". Lineage: Eukaryota; Metazoa; Chordata; Lepidosauria; Squamata; Pygopodidae. The record is from RNAcentral.
AGAAACUAAGGUUAACCCCCAAACA